Molecule: ribosomal RNA, 594 nt
Filed under: uncultured Sphingobacterium sp.
Lineage: Bacteria; Pseudomonadati; Bacteroidota; Sphingobacteriia; Sphingobacteriales; Sphingobacteriaceae
Description: bacterial SSU rRNA
Rfam family: Bacterial small subunit ribosomal RNA
Source: RNAcentral
AUUAAUACCGCAUAAGACGGUAGCUGGUCAUCCCGCAUCUGUUAUUUAUUUAUCGAUGUACCAUGGGCAUGCGACCUUUUAGUUAGUUGGCGAGGUAACGGCUCACCAAGACUAUGAUUGGUAGGGGAACUGAGAGGUCAAUCCCCCACACUGGCACUGAGAUACGGGCCAGACUCCUACGGGAGGCAGCAGUAGGGAAUAUUGGGCAAUGGACGCAAGUCUGACCCAGCCAUGCCGCGUGCAGGAUGAAGGCGUUAUGCGUUGUAAACUGCUUUUAUACAGGAAGAAACGACUCUUGCGAGAGGCAUUGACGGUACUGUAUGAAUAAGCACCGGCUAACUCCGUGCCAGCAGCCGCGGUAAUACGGAGGGUGCAAGCGUUGUCCGGAUUUAUUGGGUUUAAAGGGUGCGCAGGUGGUUUAUUAAGUCAGUGGUGAAAGACGGUCGCUCAACGAUUGCAUGUGCCAUUGAAACUGGUAGACUUGAGUAAAGUAGAGGUGGGCGGAAUUGAUAGUGUAGCGGUGAAAUGCAUAGAUAUUAUCAAGAACUCCAAUUGCGUAGGCAGCUCACUUGGCUUUUACUGACACUCAUGCAC